UAGCCAACAUUGCUAUCAGUUGGACUGG
This 28-nucleotide small RNA is filed under the name Bombyx mori (domestic silkworm). Its description in RNAcentral is "ovarian small RNA-6346". Lineage: Eukaryota; Metazoa; Arthropoda; Insecta; Lepidoptera; Bombycidae. The record is from RNAcentral.